AAAGCCUUAAGAGUGGUUUUUGCUAGAGAGUCGGCCCUAACAUUUUGAGCCCGAGGAAUAUGAAAAAAGGAAAUAGAGGCGAAGAGAGCAGAGAGAUGCCCGAUGUCGAAGGCGACGCCGUGAAUCUCCUUGUCUUGAGUCUCGCCAUUGAUCACUCUGAUGAGUGUUAGGUUAUCGGAGUGGAUCCUGAGCUUUUGGAUGUCUCGAAGGAUCGCCGAUUGGAGGGCUGAUCGAACCGCUAGGGCUUCCGCCAUUAGAGCUGAGCUUACAUGAUCCUAUGCAAGCGCGUUUUGGCCUUCCAUGGAGGUUGAUCGGUCACUGAAAUGCCAAGCUAAGUCCGCUUUAUUGGUGUUCUUGUCCCAUGCCGCAUCUGUGAAACAAAGGAGUUCCUUGUGCUUGAAUCCAUUCUCUGGCCGUUUUGAGAGCUCGCGACAUCACCUCUGUUGCGCUGUAUUCUUUGCGCUCGAAGAUCAGUUGAUUCCUUGCCGUCCAUAGAGACCAACACAUCCAAGGGAGGAAGUUUGAAGGGAUUCCAUAGGGUGGAAGACAUACAUACUUCCGGAAGUGUAGCAGAGUCUCUUGGAAGGUGGACGCAGCAACUAGGUGAAUUGCAGGUUGCGUAUCAAUACAUUGCCAAGCCUGUUGAGCAAAGGUACAUGUAAAGAAAAUAUGGUUUAUUGUUUCCAGUUCUCCACACCUGAUACACUUUGCUUUCAGGGAGACUCCUCGUCUGAGUAAGGCCUCUCCAACAGGGAUGACGUUCUGGAUAAUAGACCAUGUGAAGACCUUAAUUUUUGGAAGCAGCUGAGGCGUAACCAGUUUUUGUGGAGUAUAUCCCUGAAGUAACUGGGUACCAGAUAUAGGCAUAACUAAGUAAACCAAACAGAACUAUAAUAUUGUAGUACAUUGUUAUAUUGUAAUUUUGAGUAAAUAUGUUUUAAAGAUUAAACACUCGUAACUAAAUCUGUUUUUAUUGAUUUGUGUAUGAUAAAAAAAAAAUUGUGUAUAAUGAACUUUCGAAAAAAUACGGUUUUUAAUGAA
Molecule: long non-coding RNA, 1041 nt
Organism: Raphanus sativus (radish)
Lineage: Eukaryota; Viridiplantae; Streptophyta; Magnoliopsida; Brassicales; Brassicaceae
Exons: 3
Source: RefSeq, a predicted model, not a curated record